AACGAACGCUGGCGGCAUGCCUAACACAUGCAAGUCGAACGAGACCUUCGGGUCUAGUGGCGCACGGGUGCGUAACGCGUGGGAACCUGCCAUUAGGUUCGGAAUAACUCCCCGAAAGGGGUGCUAAUACCGGAUAAUGUCUUCGGACCGAAGAUUUAUCGACUUUGGAUGGGCCCGCGUGGGAUUAGCUAGUUGGUAGGGUAAAAGCCUACCAAGGGGACGAUCCAUAGCUGGUCUGUGAGGAUGAUCGGCCACACUGGGACUGAGACACGGCCCAGACUCCUACGGGAGGCAGCAGUGAGGAAUAUUGGACAAUGGGCGAAAGACUGAUCCAGCCAUGCCGCGUGAGUGAUGAAGGCCUUAGGGUUGUAAAGCUCGUUUACCCGGGAUGAUAAUGACAGUACCGGGAGAAUAAGCGCCGGCUAACUCCGUG
This 433-nucleotide ribosomal RNA is filed under the name uncultured bacterium. Its description in RNAcentral is "partial 16S ribosomal RNA". It matches the Rfam family "Bacterial small subunit ribosomal RNA", at positions 29 to 507 of the family's 1533-position model. The record is from RNAcentral.